Molecule: long non-coding RNA, 2344 nt
Filed under: Zea mays
Lineage: Eukaryota; Viridiplantae; Streptophyta; Magnoliopsida; Poales; Poaceae
Description: long non-coding RNA (ZMAY_LNC004894)
Source: RNAcentral
GGUAGGUUUGCUGUCCGCGACAUGAGGCAGACAGUUGCUGUUGGAGUCAUCAAGAGUGUGGAGAAGAAGGACCCGACCGGCGCCAAGGUUACCAAGGCAGCUGCCAAAAAGAAAUGAUGCAACCUGUCGUUAAUCCUGUAUCUGCUUUUGCAAUACCUGACUUGUCACUCCAUCCCGAAGUUUUGUAUGCGGUUGUUACUGUUAUUGUGUACUGUUAAGCUCUGCUGCGGCGUGCCCUGUUGUUUGGGUAGCGUCAACGUCGAGCGCCACUUGCGGGUGUGCCUUUGUCUGCUAUCAGUAGCGGCAAAAAUUGAAAGCUCUCGAGACUUAUGUCCCUUUUGGGCGCCGUUGAACUGAUUAUUUUAAAGUCUGCCCACAUUUUUCUACGACAGGUUCACUCGUGAGGAUAGAGCGACAGAAGUAUGAAAAUAGAAUAGGGUAGCAGCGAGACGAGCAUCCCUUAUGCAACUCCUGAAACGCACGAUGUGUAUUUUGCACGCUGUGUAUUUUGAAAUAUGAAGUUAGAUGAGUGGGAUAGAUGUACCUACAGAGGUGACCGGGAGGGUGGAACCGUUGCCGACGACGAUGGAGGAAGGAUGUGAUAGGUGGGGUGGAUGGGAGUGGAGGGGGUAGUGUGAAAGGAGGCUCCGGAGUCAACCACCCAAUCGGUGGUGGUUCGGGGAGGUGGUGGUGACGAAGGUGCGGUGUGAGCGGAGAGGGCCAAAAAGGUGCCCCGAUAGAGACACACGGAAGGGAGGGAGAUGGCAUGGGCUCAACCGCUAGGGAGGCGAUCGUAGCACGUGGGAAGACAAGCGGUCCAGGCACGUGACGGCCCGCCUGAGGGUGGACCUCGACGCAGUCCCGAAGGAUAGGGUUCCAGACUGGAUCGAAGGACACGAACAUGCCCCGGAUGAGGUGGCCGUCGUGGAGGAGAACACGUACAGUCACGAGAGCGGCAUGUGAGGUAAGGCUCAUGUGUGGCGGGGGAGCAGCAUGGGGCGGCCCGAGGCCGGGGAUGUAGGGGGCCCCUCCAUGGGCGAGGCUGCUGCUGAUCGCAGCAGGGGCGAUGGGGAGGUGCAUGCCAGGGCUGGUGGUGGCAGCGGUUAUGUCCAUGGCAGCCAGCAUAGCCGCAGUGGUGGCGGCGGUGGACGCGUCCAUCGGGGCGCCGACUGGAGGACGCCGCAGCAGGGGCUCCGCAGGACGGGUGGGGCGCGGCUCUGCUGGCUUCCAGGGGGCGUCGACGGCCGGAGACGAACAGGUGCCGCGUCCUGUCGGCUGCGUCAUGGUCCGGUCGGGGAGGCGAGGGGCGUGCGUGCUGGCGGCGUUGGGCGCAGGUCGCGGAGUGCGGGGCUCGGGUGCAGGGCUGCAGGGGCACUCGGGUCGCCUGGAUGCGCGCUGCACGGUCGCGGGCCGCGACGGUCGCUGGAGGAAGACGAGCAGCCGAGCAGCAGGUGCGCCGUGGGCGGCUGGGCGCGUGGCCGGCUUGCCGCGUCGUCCGCUUGGACGACUGGACGCAGGAGGACGCAGGACGCCUGGCCGCCUGGGAUCUGCUCGACAGACGGCAGCUCGAGCGCAGGAACCAGGAACGGGCGAACGGCCGAACCGAACGGAGGAAGAGUGGAAGACGCAGGGAGCAGGCAGCGUCGCAGCGGAGCAGGGGGCUGGGGGUGGACGGCGGAGCAGGGCUGCAGGGGACCGCGGUCCGCGGAGGGAGAUGCGACUGCCCUGGUGGCGCUCGGCGGUGGGGAGAGGGGAAGCCGGCGGCUGGCGGCUGAGAGGGAGGAGGCUGGAAAAAAACUAAUCUGAUACCAUAAUGGAAUGUGAACCCAUAACCCUAAUCAGAGUUGGGUGAGAUGUAUUAAUAGACUUGUGUAAUUGGGCCUGGCCCAUUGCACAAGGGGUGAUAUGGUAAUUACAUGGGGAAGACCCCAAACCCUAGACGAGAGCUCUAGGUAUUCUAACAUGGAGAAGAAGGACCCGACCGGCGCCAAGGUUACCAAGGCAGCUGCCAAAAAGAAAUGAUGCAACCUGUCGUUAAUCCUGUAUCUGCUUUUGCAAUACCUGACUUGUCACUCCAUCCCGAAGUUUUGUAUGCGGUUGUUACUGUUAUUGUGUACUGUUAAGCUCUGCUGCGGCGUGCCCUGUUGUUUGGGUAGCGUCAACGUCGAGCGCCACUUGCGGGUGUGCCUUUGUCUGCUAUCAGUAGCGGCAAAAAUUGAAAGCUCUCGAGACUUAUGUCCCUUUUGGGCGCCGUUGAACUGAUUAUUUUAAAGUCUGCCCACAUUUUUCUACGAUAGGUUCACUCGUGAGGAUAGAGCGACAGAAGUAUGAAAAUAGAAUAAGG